RNAcentral lists this ribosomal RNA (253 nucleotides) under uncultured bacterium. RNAcentral's name for it is "partial 16S ribosomal RNA". It matches the Rfam family "Bacterial small subunit ribosomal RNA", at positions 524 to 776 of the family's 1533-position model. The record is from RNAcentral.
UACGAAGGGGGCUAGCGUUGCUCGGAAUCACUGGGCGUAAAGGGCGCGUAGGCGGCCACGCACGUCCGUUGUGAAAUCGCCCGGCUCAACUGGGCGGGGUCAGCGGAUACGGUGUGGCUCGAGCAAGCUAGGGGGCAAUGGAACUCCCGGUGUAGUGGUGGAAUGCGUAGAUAUCGGGAAGAACACCAGUGGCGAAGGCGGUUGCCUGGAGCUUUGCUGACGCUGAUGCGCGAAAGCGUGGGGAGCGAGCCGG